CCGUAACGCGUUGCAAAAAGCCAAACGCGCAGCAAAUACCGUAACGCGUUGCAAAAAGCCAAACGCGCAGCAAGAAGCCAAACGCGCAGCAAGAAGCCAAACGCGCAGCAAGAAGAGGCCACAACACAACGGAAGUGUUUCCAGGGGACACCUAAAAGUGAUAGACACGCCCGGAAGGUGUUGCUGCUGCAGGUAUUUGGAGUUUCUAAAGCCGGUGUCCGUCUACUACGUGAGAGUUAACUAAACUAUAAAAAUGUUUUGCCCUUUUUGUGGCUUAUUAUUGGACUCAAUCCAGAGCCCAAGAUAUUGCUGCUCCUGUGGGCGAGAUGUUAGUUUCAUCCACGCUUCUACAGCAUCAACAAGUGCAGUGACUGUUGCUGGUACCAGUCAACAAAAGGCAUGUGCUAACCAGUUCAUGAGGUACAGGGCACAGAAAGAAAACGAGAGAAAGACGUUUUCUAAAGGCCCAAAGAAAGCACCAAUAGCAGUCAAGAUUUCGGUUGGGGUAAUGAACCAGACAAAACAUGGCCUCAAGCCGGUAAGAGGGAAAACACUUCCCCUAAAUGUGGAACCUCAGUUGACGGCGGAGCAACUUUUGGCGGUUGCC
Long non-coding RNA from Pleuronectes platessa (European plaice), 607 nucleotides. RefSeq lists it as uncharacterized. The record is from RefSeq and is a predicted model, not a curated record. NCBI's taxonomy places the organism in Eukaryota, Metazoa, Chordata, Actinopteri, Pleuronectiformes, Pleuronectidae. The transcript is spliced from 4 exons.